AUCCAGCUGACGAGUCUAAAACAAGAUGAAACACGUUUCCUGAAU
RNAcentral lists this non-coding RNA (45 nucleotides) under Schistosoma mansoni. The record is from RNAcentral. Lineage: Eukaryota; Metazoa; Platyhelminthes; Trematoda; Strigeidida; Schistosomatidae.